This 71-nucleotide transfer RNA is filed under the name Marmota marmota marmota (Alpine marmot). It matches the Rfam family "tRNA". Rfam says of the family: Transfer RNA (tRNA) molecules are approximately 80 nucleotides in length. Their secondary structure includes four short double-helical elements and three loops (D, anti-codon, and T loops). Further hydrogen bonds mediate the characteristic L-shaped molecular structure. tRNAs have two regions of fundamental functional importance: the anti-codon, which is responsible for specific mRNA codon recognition, and the 3' end, to which the tRNAs corresponding amino acid is attached (by aminoacyl-tRNA synthetases). tRNAs cope with the degeneracy of the genetic code in two manners: having more than one tRNA (with a specific anti-codon) for a particular amino acid; and 'wobble' base-pairing, i.e. permitting non-standard base-pairing at the 3rd anti-codon position. RNAcentral also lists the same sequence under 4 other names. The record is from Rfam by way of RNAcentral. Lineage: Eukaryota; Metazoa; Chordata; Mammalia; Rodentia; Sciuridae.
UGUGUGUGGCUCAGUGGUAGAGUGCUUGUCUAGCAUGCAUGAGGCACUGGGUUCAAUCCCCAGCACCACAU